RNAcentral lists this ribosomal RNA (415 nucleotides) under uncultured bacterium. RNAcentral's name for it is "bacterial SSU rRNA". It matches the Rfam family "Bacterial small subunit ribosomal RNA", at positions 18 to 419 of the family's 1533-position model. The record is from RNAcentral.
CCUGGCUCAGAACGAACGUUAGCGGCGCGCUUAACACAUGCAAGUCGAGCGAGAAAGAGGGCAACCUCCGGUAAAGCGGCGCACGGGUGAGUAACACGUAGGUAACCUACCCCCAGGUGGUGGAUAACCUUCCGAAAGGAGGGCUAAUACAGCAUGAGACCACGAGCUCGAAAGGGCUUGAGGUCAAAGUCGGCCUCUCUUCAGAAGCUGACGCCAGGGGACGGGCCUGCGGCCCAUCAGGUAGUUGGUAGGGUAAUGGCCUACCAAGCCUAAGACGGGUAGCUGGUCUGAGAGGAUGAUCAGCCACACUGGAACUGAGACACGGUCCAGACUCCUACGGGAGGCAGCAGUGGGGAAUCUUGCGCAAUGGGCGAAAGCCUGACGCAGCGACGCCGCGUGAGUGAUGAAGGCCUUC